UUUACACGCGUUAGACGAACGGUCUGGAAAGUCCGACGAUACAGGGUGAUAGUCCCGUAGUUGACGACGUGUGUUCAGUGAAAUCGAGUAGGGCGGGACACGUGAUAUCCUGUCUGAAUAUGGGGGGACCAUCCUCCAAGGCUAAAUACUACUGACUGACCGAUAGUGAACCAGUACCGUGAGGGAAAGGCGAAAAGAACCCCUGUGAGGGGAGUGAAAUAGAACCUGAAACCGUGUACGUACAAGCAGUAGGAGCAGGCUUUGUCCUGUGACUGCGUACCUUUUGUAUAAUGGGUCAGCGACUUAUAUUCAGUGGCAAGGUUAACCAUCUAGGGGAGCCGUAGGGAAACCGAGUCUUAACUGGGCGUUCAGUCUCUGGAUAUAGACCCGAAACCAGGUGAUCUAGCCAUGGGCAGGUUGAAGGUUGAGUAACAUCAACUGGAGGACCGAACCGACUAAUGUUGAAAAAUUAGCGGAUGACUUGUGGCUAGGGGUGAAAGGCCAAUCAAACCUGGAGAUAGCUGGUUCUCCCCGAAAGCUAUUUAGGUAGCGCCUCGGACGAAUACUACUGGGGGUAGAGCACUGUUAAGGCUAGGGGGUCAUCCCGACUUACCAACCCUUUGCAAACUCCGAAUACCAGUAAGUACUAUCCGGGAGACACACGGCGGGUGCUAACGUCCGUCGUGGAGAGGGAAACAACCCAGACCGCCAGCUAAGGUCCCAAAUUACUACUAAGUGGGAAACGAUGUGGGAAGGCUCAGACAGCCAGGAUGUUGGCUUAGAAGCAGCCAUCAUU
This 796-nucleotide ribosomal RNA is filed under the name Vibrio parahaemolyticus. RNAcentral's name for it is "partial 23S ribosomal RNA". It matches the Rfam family "Bacterial large subunit ribosomal RNA", at positions 319 to 1123 of the family's 2925-position model. Lineage: Bacteria; Pseudomonadati; Pseudomonadota; Gammaproteobacteria; Vibrionales; Vibrionaceae. The record is from RNAcentral.